This 618-nucleotide long non-coding RNA is filed under the name Salvia miltiorrhiza (redroot sage). RNAcentral describes it as "long non-coding RNA (SMIL_LNC004390)". The record is from RNAcentral. Lineage: Eukaryota; Viridiplantae; Streptophyta; Magnoliopsida; Lamiales; Lamiaceae.
GCCACCACCUUCCUCCUUGGCGACGGCGAGGCGCCGCCGCCUCCCUCGUUCUCAGAUCCGAAGACCCACCCCUCUCUCGCUCCGAUUGACAGCAACAAAGCCGUCGUCGGAGCCCUAGCUCAACACCACCGACUUCACACUUCCUUGCUCCGAUUCCUGGCGACAGCAGCGAGGGCCGCCGCCGACCGCCGCGCCUGACCUCCAGCCCAGCCCUCUGCAACCCCAGCCCAGUCCGUCUCCCUCUAAUCUCAUCCCUCUGUUUCCGGCGAUCAGCAGCGGAAGCCGCCACUUCGCCGCCCCUUCACCGACUCACACACAUACCGCACAUACUCAACAGGACACACAUACACACCAAUCAAGCCUCGACACAGCAAGUUCGAAAAGUUAAAGCUUCAAGACUCUUCUUUCAUAAAGAUCUUUUCUUUUCCUUUUCAAUGAAUCAUGCUUUCAUUUAUAAGUAUAUGCACAGAUUAUGAAUAAAUAUGUAUUUUCGUAUAAAAGUUGUUUUAGAUGAAUUUCAGUGAAGGUAUGUAUGGCUGUGAUUCUUUGUUGGCUAGCUGUGAUUUGUGUGUGAAAGUAAUGGACGUGUCUCAUUCAAUAUUGUAAAAACAAGUCAUG